Non-coding RNA from Rattus norvegicus (Norway rat), 6459 nucleotides. Lineage: Eukaryota; Metazoa; Chordata; Mammalia; Rodentia; Muridae. The record is from RefSeq and is a predicted model, not a curated record.
UAAAGCAUGCAAUGGUUUUAAGCAAGGACAUUCAGACAAUGAUGCCCCAAUACGUAUUUUGGAUCUCAACCUACGUGUUAGAGAGCUGGGAAUGCAAGGAGCAACUUCCCCAGGAGUUCUCUUCCCUGCACAAAUAGCAGAUCUGUCAAGGAAGAAGCUGCCGUUGGUCCUCCUAUUGAAGCUCAAUUUACCAAGCAAGAUGAAAUAUAAACCAUACAAGAAGAGAAUGAAAAUCAAACAGAAUAUCCAGGGCCUGGAGGGUCUAGGCAAAGUGUUCCCUGAUUUGGGAACUGGCUCCUAGCCAGAGUCUGCUAUUGUGUAUCACCUAACAAGUGCCCAGGCCUGUCACUGUGACUCACAUUGGCAUCUGUCAGCACCCUGUGUCCCUUACAUCAUUCAUAACCAACAGAUGUCCUUGUGGUUUCACGCUGUCCCAGCCCAAUUCUUAGUAAAACCACUUGCAAUUGACACUGGCGCUGAAUGGUGAGAAGAAGUCAGAACAGAACACAAACAAACCAGCAUCAAGGUUGAACUGAUGCUCUCACUAGCCGAUGAAGAGAAAAUCUUGAUAUGGCGUUCUCCUUGUAUGACUUCCAAAACUGUUGGAAAUAGUCGUGAUUUAUUUCUGGAAAGGCAUAGAAAGGCUCCGGAUGCCUUGUGGAGUCAGGAAGACGGGGUGCCUACAAGUUCUGGUUAUUAGGAGACAGUAGAAAUCUAAGAGGAGGAGAAAGGGAGGGAUGGGAGAGAGAGGUAGGGAUGGGAGGAGGGAGGAGGAAGGAAAGGGAGAGAAGGAGGAGGGAGGAGAGGAAGAGAAAGGGGAAGAGAGAAAAGGCCAAAACCUCAGCUUCCCUUCCCCAUGUUCAACCUUUCCUCUGUGCUUGCCCAAACCAGCUUUAACCUCAAUCACAUUUGGGACCUGGCUUCUGGGAGCCCUGUCCCAAGCUACUGUGUAACUGGAGGGCAUCCUGGCGGGGAAGCAAGGGUGCUUUGCGCUUUCUGCUAAGCCCUACAGCUGUUGGAAUCUCCAGACUCCAUCCGUGAAUCUCUUCUCCCUUCCUCACUUUAGGAGACGAUGCUGAACAGUUCCGUCCUUCUCCUGACCUCUGAACUCCAAAUCCUGGAAGAGCUUGUCCUUCUCUUCUGAUCACCCCCUCUCUAUGUCUUCAACACUCCUCCUCCAAACCAUACAUCUAGUAUAAUUAAGGUUCUCCCACCUAAGAGUCUCUUUUCACACUUAAAGAAACACUGUUUAUUUGAGACAGGGUCUCCUGUAGCUAUGGCUGGCCAUGAAUGUACUACAGGGACAAAGAAGACCUUGGAGCUCUCAUCCCCCUGCCUUCACUUCCUAGAUUCUGAAGGUAAAUCCAGGAUUGCAGGCACGCAUGCUCCAUCAAGUCCAUUUUAUAUGCUGCUGGGCGUCAACCCAAGGCUUUGUAGAUGUCCCACCCCUUUUGAGUGGUCAGUUGUGACAAAUAGUGGUUAGCGAAGUGUGCUUAUCCAUUACCAGUUCUGCUUCAAUGCAUUCAAAACUCUUUUGUCCACCAAAUCCCAAGAAGUAUACUCCCUGGUAUCAGACAGCGCCUCCUCUGGCUAAGGUAGAGAUGUUCUGUUUUGCUGUAUUGAUUCCACGGUUCACCCUACAGCAUUUCAUCUGGCCCACAAGUAUCUCUUCUUAUCGCAUUCUUUUCCAUGGAGAAACUUCUCAGAGGAGAGGAAGUUGGAGGCUGGCAUGUGGACGUAGAGAUUGUACCCUGGGAAGGUGGUGCCUAUGUGAAAUGCUGAAGGGGACAUGCAUACCUGUCAGAGCGACUAUGAAGAAAAGUUCAGGGCGGAAGAGCGAGAGAAGAGGGUCUGUGGCAGGUUUGAGUGGCAAAUGAAACCAGCAUAGUGACAGAAGAGAAAAUGCUGAGAACGGGAGGCACUGAGGGGCAGCGACAGGGCAGGUCUCUCGGGGCAGCUUGUAUGAGGCCAAACGCGUUAUCAGGAAAGUUGUCUUACUGCCAGCGAGAUGUAAAAGUGUUGAGCGUUUUUGUGGCAGAUACGUGACCAAUCUGCUCCACGCUCUCCAGUGUCUGAGCUCUGAUAUGCAGCUGACUCAGGCCAGGACAAAAGCACGAGUCAGGGGAGAUGCCAAUAGACACAACAAACUGGCCAAAUGGGAUGGCGGGAACUACCACACCUUAGACGUGCUGACACUCCCCGGUUUCCUCAGGCUUCUCUGACCUCCAUUUUCAGCCCCAUAUGCAGGCUUUUCUUCUUCCAGAAUGCUUGGUGGCUUCUAAGUCACCCCUGGCCCUCCUGUUAGUCAACGCCGUACCUUUGCACACUUUAUCACGUGAUCAUCCUGGCUUCUGUGCUUGUCACUGCACACACCUCUCCUCUUGACUCCUGACCCGAACAAAUCUCAGACCACCCAUUGGAUCCUUCAAGGUCAGCAUAUUCUGAAGCUAUUUGCCACCAUUUAAGAUUCUCAGGAGGGCCUCGUGCCCCGGCCUGCACAUCCGUUCUGCCUUUGGAACAUUAUCGUGUAGGUAGAGGCUGCCACUCCCCUCUUCUGCCUAUCAAACUGGAGGUAAGAGCUGUCAGGGAUGCUUUGUUGCCUGACAUCAUCCUCGGGUGACAUUCUCUGACGUCCCUUUUCACUUGGACACUCCACUAUGCCAGUAUCUUGGUUUCUCGUCACUCAUGAUUAAUUCUGUGACUGGUUCUUAAUCCCUGAGAGUCAUAUAUCCAAGUGUUCUUUUAGAAACGUACCUAAACGACUUCGAUCGGUGUUUAUUUGGUGAUAACCGAUUAUUCCAGAUUUUCUCAUCCUUACCAGCUUUGUGUAGAAAGACAUACAAGACCCUGGCCACAGGAAGGUCUAGGAGUACAUAAUCUCUCCCAAGACUAGGCAGGUAUGAGCCAACUAGAUGACAGUGUUAGCAUAUCUGGUGAAGUCCUUUGUAGACCUCUUACAGGCGUCAGGAUCUAGGACCUCUGCGCUGGCCUAAGUGAACAUUCUGAGCCCCUGACGGUGGCUAGUUCAUCACAGUUUCCAGACCCAGGGUCUGAGGCCAUGGCCUUCAGGGCCCAGCGACUCCCUGGAAGUCAUCUAGAGAUUAGAGCCCAAAGCUUCUAGGCUACUUUCCAUAUCCAUUAGUCUGACCAGCAGAGCUGAUAGUCUGAGAUAAGCACAAACACAGAAGCGACAGUCUAAUGGGCAAGGAAGAGGAGAAGAAAGGGAAACACUUAAUGGUGUCUCACAUCUGACUCCAUGGCCCUUGGGUGCUGUCUUCUGCCUGUAGGCACUCUCUAAUUAGAGUUCUUGUCUGAUGAUGGUCAAACUUCCUACCUGGGCCAGAAGUUUCUACUGAGAAAUCCCUCACUUCCUCUCUUCAUUUAGUACACUUCCUCCCCCAUCUCAUAUCCUUCCAGUGGCCAUGUCUCACAUCAACCAACGGACCAAGCAUCCCUAGCUGCCUCCCCAUUUUACCCUCUUUUACUGUGGACCUUAGCAUUCUUCAAUGCGACUAAAUCAGCUAGUCUUCCUCGCCCUUUCCCUGCCAAGUGCUUCAAGCCCUUCGGGACAGUUUGAAACUGUUGUGUGCUAACAGUAGAGCCUUCGACUUUCACCUGCUAUCUCUGUCCCCCAUGUCCUCUGCCUAGGAUGGGUGGCUGCUCACCGAGACUCUAGUCAUAUGUCCUUCUAUGUGUCUCAUUCGGCUUCCUCUUGCCGACGCCCCAACAAGAAGCCCCCAUUCAUCAGAAGGGUGUGAUAAAACGCGCCUGUAAUCCCCACACGAGGUAGACGGAGGUAGGAGAAUCAGAAGUUCACGGUCAGCUGCAUGAGUUCAUGGCCAACCCAGGCUAUAGGAGGAAAUUUAGUAAGAACCAGCUGUAACUGUUCUGCAGCUUCCUUGGGAGAUGUUCAAAGUAGAGUGUUCAAAAAGAGUAGUGCCGGCAUAAGGGUGGUCUGACUGGAUGCUUGACGGACAAUCCUUCCUUAAGGCUUCCAGGGCCAUAUGGAGUAGAGCUAAUGCCAGUAGAAGUCAGGUGUCCCCAUCUCAAAACACCUUUCCCCACUUACAGGAAGCUAAAUAUCAAAAGAAACAUUGCUGAUAACAUUGCCUCAUCAAUAAAUACUAUUAGCGACUUUAACAGUGACUGGCCUCUGUCCGGUACUCCAGGCGGAGUGGAUUCCACCUCCGACUAUCUACUUGUGGCAUUUUAGAAAAGCAACCUUGGAGAGACAAAGGAAAGUGCCUGCUUCCUUCUACCAAACGAACAAAACAUGAAAAAGACAAACCAGUCACACCGUGUGUCUGUCUCUUCAUCUCCUUUCUUCCCCAGCUCUUUCUCCCUUACUUAGCUUAAGCGUGCUGCCUUUCCUGGGGCUGUGUGAAGAAGGUUAUCGUAAACCUGUGUUUGGGUUGGAGCUUCAGAUGAUCAGGUCCUGGGGCAUCCCUGAGAUGGUCUCUCUGGAUUGGGAAAGAGGACAUCUUUAAUGGGGCACAUGAGGCCCAUUCGGCCUGUGAGCGAAUGGGUUUGCAGAUUACAGGAAUCAAAGAAGACCAGAGCUUUUUCUCAGGGCAGCAGAUUCCUAUGACAAGAAGGGUACAAGUGUGGUCCAUAAUAAAGAAACAAAACAGCCACUCUCCCUCAAGCCCAGCAUGGUUGAGAGCAACGAGGAAAAAAUCCCUGCUUCCCAGAAUGGGGCAGGAAUGAGAAACAUUCCUCAUACCCUGGAGUAAGACGAGCAUAGCAGGACGUGAAGUGAGUCUGAUGUUUGCCUGAAUGCAUGAUCCAUUUUUUUUCAUGAACCCUGUCUGCUACUGUGUGGGUCUUUUGGGCGUUCUGUAAUGGGAAGCCAUAGAGUAGUAGUUCUCAACCUGUGGGUCGAGACCCCUUUGGGAGGGGUCAAAUGUCCCUUUCACAGGGGUUACACAUCAGAUAUUCUGCAUAUCAGAUAUUUACAUUAUGACUUAUAAUGGUAGCAAAAUCACAGAUCUGAAGUAGCAACAAAAAUAAUUUUAUGGUUGGGGGGGGGCGUCACCACAUAAGGAACUGUAUUAAAGGAUCGCAGCAUCGGAAGGUUGAGAACCAUUGUUCCACUGUUUUUAAACUCUCCUCAAAUUAUCGCUUUUCCAUUUCUCAUCCUAUUUGACUAACAGUAACUGCUAUUUUAGUCAUUUAAAGAUCUGGGCAAACUGCUUUCCAAACAUCCCAGUGUUCCAAAGCUGGAUAGGAGAUCCCAGAAAGACUAGACGGAGCUCCACAGGGAAAGCCAUCUCGUUUUAAUAAACAAGGCCACGCUCUUUGGUCUGAGCUCAAAUCGAAGCGAACUUUGCACGGUUCUAGCUGCGGGCUUUCGUGAUGCUGAAAAUCAAAGGGCUGUAAGACGCAGAGAACCAGGGAGGCCGAGCGGGGAGGUUUUAUCCUAUGUCGGCAUGCGAACGCGCAGAUUUUAUGAGAGGCGGUGUUUACCAAAAGGUGGGAUUUAUAGCUCCUUGUAAUUUACAGCAUUUGAAUGUAAUGUGAUAGUGCGAAUAAAUUUUUCCCUUCCCUUGUGAUGAGCUCAUGAAUAAACGUGCAAAGGACUCGAAGCUGGAGACAGAGCUGGGAAGAGGAGGCAGAGAAUGAAUCAGCGAGUGCCUGCCCUCGGCAGACACUGUCCCCCGCCUAUGACAUCGGCUCGCGGCUCUGCAUGAAGACUCAAACACAUUUAUGUGGGACAUGGCGCUGAACAAUUCCCAUCCGAGGCUGCUCGGCACACCGUGUGACAAAAAUGAAAACGCCAUUGGUACAAAAGUUCUACCAGGCUUCAGACAACUGUGCAUUUCUCAGGGCUGGAGCGCACAGUGCCUGUCCCACGACGGACGCCAGGGGUGUAAGAAGAGGGAAAGGUUUAACUUGGUUAGAAUUCUGGUUUUUAUGAGGAACCAUUAUGCCUUCUGCUCACGGGCUGUUAAAUUUGGAAAGCUUUUAGGUAGAAAAAUUAAUUUAAUGGACUCAACAAGGUCAAACGUGAAGGUAUCAAGUGACAGGAAGUUGUACUGAAGACACUUCGAGCGUGACGGAGCUGACCUCCAUUCUCCCACAAAGGCUGGUUCGUCGGUUGAUCCUUGCUCAUGGAGAGCAAGAAGCAGAAUGAGCUCUGCGCUCGUCUGCUACAGUGUUUGUUAGCUCUCCAUCUCUCCAAAGGAUUCUCAAGCCCCUGGAUAAUUCCAGGCACAAUUUCAGGGCUCCAAGCUCCGUGGACGAAGCGGUGGACAGGCUGGCCUCCAGGUUUCCUUUCAACUGUAAAGGGAGAGAAAAAAAUGUGACUCUUGGGGGAAAGUUGUGCUUCCAAAUUGGUGACUUCUUUUAAAUUUCCCAAUAAAAGACAAACUAGUUAAGUUCAACUGGAUCUUGUUUCAAGAAGGAAAGGCACCAAUACUAGGGAGUCAUGAACACACAUGGAGAGAGAGACCCACACAA